RNAcentral lists this ribosomal RNA (253 nucleotides) under uncultured bacterium. RNAcentral's name for it is "partial 16S ribosomal RNA". It matches the Rfam family "Bacterial small subunit ribosomal RNA", at positions 524 to 776 of the family's 1533-position model. The record is from RNAcentral.
UACGAAGGGGGCUAGCGUUGCUCGGAAUCACUGGGUGUAAAGCGCACGUAGGCGGCUUUUUAAGUCAGGGGUGAAAUCCUGGAGCUCAACUCCAGAACUGCCUUUGAUACUGAGAAGCUUGAGUCUGGGAGAGGUGAGUGGAACUGCGAGUGUAGAGGUGAAAUUCGUAGAUAUUCGCAAGAACACCAGUGGCGAAGGCGGCUCACUGGCCCGGUACUGACGCUGAGGUGCGAAAGCUAGGGGAGCAAACAGG